AUCAGGAGGACACAGGUGUUGGUGAGGCUGGGACAGUUCAGACCCUCCAGGAGCAACCCUACAAGAACAGCGCCACCUUGCCAGAACUCGCCAGCCUGACCCCCUGCGCCCCGCUCCAGUCCGCCCUAGCCUGCUGUUCCGGGGCCACUUGAGCCGGCUGUGGCGGCCACACGACGGAUGGCCCGCUGGUCUGUCCUGCUAUGGCACGAGUUCCUUCCUGUAUGCAGCACAGAGCCACUUGCUAUACAGGGCUCCUUCCUCUGCUGUCUAUUCUGCAGCGCACUUGGGGAGGGCGUUCCUGGUGGAGGAGACUCUUGAUCCACAAACCCAGCCACCCCCACACCAAGGAAGCGACCCCUAAAAUGCUGAUGCUGCAGGGAAACGGCAGAAUUCACCUGUGUGAGUCCACACUGGUCACGUCUUCCUCACUUGGCUGCACGUUAUUCUGCUGAGGCUGUAACUUUCCCAUGCUCAGUGAGGGGAGUAGGGAGAGCCAGCCAUGCGCUGUCACAGCACAGUGAUCAGAACCAGGGCCGGACCACAUGGGGUGCUGGGCUUGGGGGAUACCAGGCUCGGGGGAUACCAGGCUCAGGGUGCUGUUUUUGUUGUUAGUGACAAAAGGGAAAAUAGAAGGUUGGAAGUAAAAUGUUCCAGGUAGUCUGUGUGUGGAUUCAUUUUUAACUAACCUCCUAGAAUGUUCUGGACUUUUGUAGAAUUUCAUGGAACCUUCCAAACUUUCUGAGAACUACAUUUUCCUCGAACCUCCUAGAGCACUGUCAGCCUGGCCCUCGCGGGUAUUUAAGGGGCGGGGCGUCACCAGUCAACAGAUUUGAAGAGGCCAUCACUAGUGCCAAAGAAAUGGUGGAAUCCUGAGGAUUUGAGCAUGUAUUCAAGGAAACUCUUAUUCAUCAGAAGAAGAGACAGUUUGGUUACGAGGGCCGAGAUGAGGUGAUGGGAAGCUUGGAAGAAAAGUUCCAGAGGGAGGUUUUUUUGCUCACUCACUGACACUGCUGAGUGUCCAUCGAAGAAAGGUUCGGACAAAUGAAGCACCAGGAAAAGACUGGGAUGCAGGGAGAAGGGUUGUAUGACCUUAGUAAGCUGCCGGUGGACAGGAAAAGACUCUUGAACAAUUCACCAGACCUUCGCCGGACACUGACACAUGGGGAAUGUUCGGACACCAAUGCUAAAGACCUCUUGUCGAAUUGGACAACAGCCAUCCCAUUUUGCCACACGGGGAGCACUUUCCACUCCAAGUUCUCCAGUUCAUACAUGAUGCAGAGCUGGAGGACACUUUUCCUAAUGUGUGGAUAGCUUUGAGGAUUCUGCUCAUGCUGCCGGUCACAGUCGUAAGUGGUGAGUGCAGCUUUUCAAAGCUCAGGUUCAUUAAAAGAUAACUUCGAUCGACGACGGCUAAUGAGAGACUGACAUCGCUUGCUAUUUUAGUGCUUGAAAGUGCCAUUGGCCUGUCUUUGGAUCUGACACUGCUUCAGUUUGUGAGGGAAAUGGCGAGAAAAGUGAUCUUUGGAACUAAAGGACUAGUGUUAACAUUCUAAGACUGUCAUCUACUGGAAUGCUACUUAAUACUGGUUUUGCCAGAUACUGGGAAUGGGCGAUAGGGGAUGGAUCGCUUGACAAUUCCCUGUUCUGUUCAUUCCCUCUGGGGCACCUGGCAUUGGCCACUGUCGGAAGGCAGGAUACUGGGCUAGAUGGACCAUUGUUCUGACCCAGUCUGGCUGCUCUUACGUUAUUAUGUCCCCCCAAUGUAGGUGCACAGUUCAAUUUCUUGAUGUUAGUACAUUUCAGUUACUCUUAAAAUUAAAAAGUUUCUAUAAACUUAGAGGAAACAAAUUAUUUGUAUUGGCUUAUAUAUGGCAUGAAUAAAUAGAUUUACAGAU
Molecule: long non-coding RNA, 1895 nt
Organism: Caretta caretta (loggerhead turtle)
Lineage: Eukaryota; Metazoa; Chordata; Testudines; Cheloniidae
Source: RefSeq, a predicted model, not a curated record